RNAcentral lists this long non-coding RNA (622 nucleotides) under Vigna radiata. RNAcentral's name for it is "long non-coding RNA (VRAD_LNC008552)". The record is from RNAcentral. Lineage: Eukaryota; Viridiplantae; Streptophyta; Magnoliopsida; Fabales; Fabaceae.
AACUUACAGUUUAAUUAUCCUCAACCAUACUUAACAAAGUAUUUUCACAUAUAUUCCAUUCCAUAUAUUUCUCAACACAUCAUUCUCAAUUAAACUUACUAUUUAGUUAUCCUCAACCAUACUUAACAAAGUAUAUUCACAUACAACUCAUUUCCACAUCACUUAAUCCAUCAUUCACAAUCAAAUUCACAACUUUCUUCAUGGCAACAUUGAUUACCGAAACUUAGGUAACUCAAACAGCUUGGAGACCAUCACCAAUGGUUCCGGAAGAGUCAAAAUCCUCCAGAACGACCUAAAGAACGUCCAAAACGGACAUCCAGAACCCCCAAAACCUCCAAAAACAAAUUCAGCAAAGUGUUGGUGCAUCCAGUUGCGCUGGAGCGCGACCAGGGGCGCUCGGGCGCCAUGACAGCGACCAUAUUCGGGUUUUCCACCCAGAUUCGUCCAGAUUUGAUUUCUAGCACAUAUUCAACACUUCUAACAUGUUCUCAAACAUAUUUGGAGUCUAAAAUCACUCCACAAACAACAACAAACAUCAACUAAUCCAUUUACUCAUACAAAACCAACUCUUUAAUUGGAUAACAUAACAUUUUCAUGCAUAAUUUCAAACAACUUUCAACUA